RNAcentral lists this ribosomal RNA (343 nucleotides) under uncultured Pseudomonadota bacterium. Its description in RNAcentral is "bacterial SSU rRNA". It matches the Rfam family "Bacterial small subunit ribosomal RNA", at positions 29 to 351 of the family's 1533-position model. Lineage: Bacteria; Pseudomonadati; Pseudomonadota. The record is from RNAcentral.
AAUGAACGCUGGCGGCGUGCUUAACACAUGCAAGUCGCACGAGAACGCUUCAGCUUGCUGAGGCAAGUAAAGUGGCGCACGGGUGAGUAACGCGUGGGUAAUCUACCUCCGAAUUGGGGAUAACAUUGCGAAAGCGGUGCUAAUACCGAAUAAUAUCCUCAAGACCCCGGUCUUGGAGAUCAAAGGUGGCCUCUACAUGUAAGCUACUGUUUGGAGAUGAGCCCGCGUACCAUUAGCUUGUUGGUAGGGUAACGGCCUACCAAGGCGACGAUGGUUAGCUGGUCUGAGAGGAUGAUCAGCCACACUGGAACUGACACACGGUCCAGACACCUACGGGUGGCAG